AGACCCGAAACCCGGUGAUCUAGCCAUGGGCAGGUUGAAGGUUGGGUAACACUAACUGGAGGACCGAACCGACUAAUGUUGAAAAAUUAGCGGAUGACCUGUGGCUGGGGGUGAAAGGCCAAUCAAACCGGGAGAUAGCUGGUUCUCCCCGAAAGCUAUUUAGGUAGCGCCUCGUGAAUUCAUCUCCGGGGGUAGAGCACUGUUUCGGCUAGGGGGCCAUCCCGGCUUACCAACCCGAUGCAAACUGCGAAUACCGGAGAAUGUUAUCACGGGAGACACACGGCGGGUGCUAACGUCCGUCGUGAAGAGGGAAACAACCCAGACCGCCAGCUAAGGUCCCAAAGUCAUGGUUAAGUGGGAAACGAUGUGGGAAGGCCCAGACAGCCAGGAUGUUGGCUUAGAAGCAGCCAUCAUUUAAAGAAAGCGUAAUAGCUCACUGGUCGAGUCGGCCUGCGCGGAAGAUGUAACGGGGCUAAACCAUGCACCGAAGCUGCGGCAGCGACGCUUAUGCGUUGUUGGGUAGGGGAGCGUUCUGUAAGCCUGUGAAGGUGUGUCGUGAGGCAUGCUGGAGGUAUCAGAAGUGCGAAUGCUGACAUAAGUAACGAUAAAGCGGGUGAAAAGCCCGCUCGCCGGAAGACCAAGGGUUCCUGUCCAACGUUAAUCGGGGCAGGGUGAGUCGACCCCUAAGGCGAG
RNAcentral lists this ribosomal RNA (693 nucleotides) under Salmonella enterica subsp. enterica serovar Dublin. RNAcentral describes it as "partial 23S ribosomal RNA". It matches the Rfam family "Bacterial large subunit ribosomal RNA", at positions 711 to 1400 of the family's 2925-position model. The record is from RNAcentral. Lineage: Bacteria; Pseudomonadati; Pseudomonadota; Gammaproteobacteria; Enterobacterales; Enterobacteriaceae.